RNAcentral lists this ribosomal RNA (141 nucleotides) under Escherichia coli. Its description in RNAcentral is "partial 23S ribosomal RNA". It matches the Rfam family "Bacterial large subunit ribosomal RNA", at positions 2802 to 2925 of the family's 2925-position model. Lineage: Bacteria; Pseudomonadati; Pseudomonadota; Gammaproteobacteria; Enterobacterales; Enterobacteriaceae. The record is from RNAcentral. RNAcentral also lists the same sequence under 1 other name.
AGAUGAGUUCUCCCUGACCCUUUAAGGGUCCUGAAGGAACGUUGAAGACGACGACGUUGAUAGGCCGGGUGUGUAAGCGCAGCGAUGCGUUGAGCUAACCGGUACUAAUGAACCGUGAGGCUUAACCUUACAACGCCGAAG